UGGAGGAAAGUAGGGGAUCGAAAGACCUUGCGCUUAAGGAGCGGCCGAUGUCUGAUUAGCUAGUUGGUGGGGUAAAGGCCUACCAAGGCGACGAUCAGUAGUUUGUCUGAGAGGACGACCAACCACACUGGGACUGAGACACGGCCCAGACUCCUACGGGAGGCAGCAGUGGGGAAUUUUGGACAAUGGGCGCAAGCCUGAUCCAGCCAUGCCGCGUGAGUGAAGAAGGCCUUCGGGUUGUAAAGCUCUUUCAGUUGGGAAGAAACGAUUGCAACUAAUAAUUGUAAUUAAUGACGGUACCGACAGAAGAAGCACCGGCUAACUACGUGCCAGCAGCCGCGGUAAUACGUAGGGUGCGAGCGUUAAUCGGAAUUACUGGGCGUAAAGGGUGCGCAGGCGGUUUUGUAAGUCAGAUGUGAAAUCCCCGGGCUUAACCUGGGAAUGGCGUUUGAA
RNAcentral lists this ribosomal RNA (453 nucleotides) under uncultured bacterium. RNAcentral describes it as "bacterial SSU rRNA". It matches the Rfam family "Bacterial small subunit ribosomal RNA", at positions 197 to 631 of the family's 1533-position model. The record is from RNAcentral.